RNAcentral lists this ribosomal RNA (246 nucleotides) under uncultured bacterium. RNAcentral describes it as "partial 16S ribosomal RNA". It matches the Rfam family "Bacterial small subunit ribosomal RNA", at positions 87 to 334 of the family's 1533-position model. RNAcentral also lists the same sequence under 1 other name. The record is from RNAcentral.
UUGCUCGAGUGGCGAACGGGUGAGUAACACGUGAGUAACCUGCCCUUGACUUUGGGAUAACUUCAGGAAACUGGGGCUAAUACCGGAUAGGAGCUCCUGCUGCAUGGUGGGGGUUGGAAAGUUUCGGCGGUUGGGGAUGGACUCGCGGCUUAUCAGCUUGUUGGUGGGGUAGUGGCUUACCAAGGCUUUGACGGGUAGCCGGCCUGAGAGGGUGACCGGCCACAUUGGGACUGAGAUACGGCCCAG